AGAGUUUGAUUCUGGCUCAGGAUGAACGCUAGCGACAGGCUUAACACAUGCAAGUCGAGGGGCAGCAUAAAAGUAGCAAUACUUGGUGGCGACCGGCGCACGGGUGAGUAACGCGUAUGCAACCUACCUAUCAGAGGGGAAUAACCCGGCGAAAGUCGGACUAAUACCGCAUAAAACAGGGGCACCGCAUGGUGAUAUUUGUUAAAGAAAUUCGCUGAUAGAUGGGCAUGCGUUCCAUUAGGUAGUUGGUGAGGUAACGGCUCACCAAGCCGACGAUGGAUAGGGGAACUGAGAGGUUGGUCCCCCACACUGGUACUGAGACACGGACCAGACUCCUACGGGAGGCAGCAGUGAGGAAUAUUGGUCAAUGGGCGGGAGCCUGAACCAGCCAAGUCGCCGUGAAGGAAGAAGGAUCUAUGGUUCGUAAACUUCUUUUGCAGGGGAAUAAAGUGCAGGACGUGUCCUGUUUUGUAUGUACCCUGAGAAUAAGGAUCGGCUAACUCCGUGCCAGCCGCCGC
RNAcentral lists this ribosomal RNA (518 nucleotides) under uncultured bacterium. RNAcentral's name for it is "bacterial SSU rRNA". It matches the Rfam family "Bacterial small subunit ribosomal RNA", at positions 8 to 518 of the family's 1533-position model. The record is from RNAcentral.